UUGAUGAUAACACAGAAAGAGUCGCUCCUGAUCAGAGUUGGACUAUAAACACGUAGUUCUAUUGGCCUGGAACUAGAUUCUGAUAGUGAAUCAACCCAUCUAAUAGUGCAUGGGUAACGGAGUCAUUGUGUCGCUGUGGCCACAUUGACUCGAUCCCAUCUUGUCGCUUUGGCCUUGAUGCGGAUCACCUUGCUUGGGGGGGGAUACUGGUGGUACACGGGUGUUCAGCCAUACUCUCUUCAGGGGGGAGUACUGGUGAGACAUGCCUGAUUACGUC
RNAcentral lists this long non-coding RNA (277 nucleotides) under Zostera marina. RNAcentral describes it as "long non-coding RNA (ZMAR_LNC004271)". The record is from RNAcentral. Lineage: Eukaryota; Viridiplantae; Streptophyta; Magnoliopsida; Alismatales; Zosteraceae.